RNAcentral lists this long non-coding RNA (202 nucleotides) under Neodiprion pinetum (white pine sawfly). RNAcentral describes it as "uncharacterized LOC124217182, transcript variant X2". Lineage: Eukaryota; Metazoa; Arthropoda; Insecta; Hymenoptera; Diprionidae. The record is from RNAcentral.
CUACACGACGCUUGUUCAUUCCGUUCAUUAUGAUUUUUGAAAGUUGACAAAAAAUGAAAAUUUCCAUUUGCUUGGUCUUGUUAAGUAUAUAUUUAAGAAGGGGCUCCAAGAAGCGAAAUAUUUUUAGAGCUAUUAUUUGAACAUUUAUGCUGUUUGCAAUGAAAAUCGAGGUUCGAAGAAUUAUGACUAAUUAACGAAUGUG